CAGUAGCCGCGGUAAUACAGAGGGUGCGAGCGUUAAUCGGAUUUACUGGGCGUAAAGCGUGCGUAGGCGGCUAAUUGAGUCGGAUGUGAAAUCCCCGAGCUUAACUUGGGAAUUGCAUUCGAUACUGGUUAGCUAGAGUGUGGGAGAGGAUGGUAGAAUUCCAGGUGUAGCGGUGAAAUGCGUAGAGAUCUGGAGGAAUACCGAUGGCGAAGGCAGCCAUCUGGCCUAACACUGACGCUGAGGUACGAAAGCAUGGGGAGCAAACAGGAUUAGAUACCCCAGUAGUCCCUGUCUCUUAUAA
RNAcentral lists this ribosomal RNA (301 nucleotides) under uncultured bacterium. RNAcentral's name for it is "partial 16S ribosomal RNA". It matches the Rfam family "Bacterial small subunit ribosomal RNA", at positions 509 to 809 of the family's 1533-position model. The record is from RNAcentral.